GAUGAAGAACGCAGUGAAAUGCGAUACGUAAUGUGAAUUGCAGAAUUCAGUGAAUCAUCGAGUCUUUGAACGCACAUUGCGCCCCCUGGUAUUCCGGGGGGCAUGCCUGUCCGAGCCUCAUUGCUGCCCUCAAGCACGGCUUGUGUGUUGGGCCUCCGUCCUCCUCCCGGGGGACGGGCCCGAAAGGCAGCGGCGGCACCGCGUCCGGUCCUCGAGCGUAUGGGGCUUCGUCACCCGCUCUUGUAGGCCCGGCCGGCGCUUGCCGACACAUCAAUCUUUUUUCCAGGUUGACCUCGGAUCAGGUAGGGAUACCCGCUGAACUUAAGCAUAUCAAUAAGCGGAGGA
This 345-nucleotide unclassified non-coding RNA is filed under the name soil metagenome. Its description in RNAcentral is "partial contains 5.8S ribosomal RNA, internal transcribed spacer 2, and large subunit ribosomal RNA". The stretch from base 1 to 120 matches the Rfam family "5.8S ribosomal RNA", at positions 35 to 154 of the family's 154-position model. The record is from RNAcentral.